UACGUAGGGGGCUAGCGUUGUCCGGAAUCAUUGGGCGUAAAGAGCGUGUAGGCGGCUCGGUAAGUCCGCUGUGAAAGUCCAGGGCUCAACCCUGGAAUGCCAGUGGAAACUGUCGAGCUAGAGUCCGGAAGAGGCGAGUGGAAUUCCUGGUGUAGCGGUGAAAUGCGCAGAUAUCAGGAGGAACACCAAUGGCGAAGGCAGCUCGCUGGGACGGUACUGACGCUGAGACGCGAAAGCGUGGGGAGCGAACAGG
RNAcentral lists this ribosomal RNA (253 nucleotides) under uncultured bacterium. RNAcentral's name for it is "partial 16S ribosomal RNA". It matches the Rfam family "Bacterial small subunit ribosomal RNA", at positions 524 to 776 of the family's 1533-position model. The record is from RNAcentral.